RNAcentral lists this long non-coding RNA (448 nucleotides) under Bos taurus (domestic cattle). RNAcentral's name for it is "long non-coding RNA NONBTAT023429". The record is from RNAcentral. Lineage: Eukaryota; Metazoa; Chordata; Mammalia; Artiodactyla; Bovidae.
UGUUAUAAUUUUUGGAAUGGUUCAUAAAUUUUGCAAAUUCUUUUAAAUUUGUAACUUUUAGUUUUUUUCUUUCUUUUUUCCCAAUUGUGAACCAUUCCAUAUUGCAUCUUUAUUGCAAAAGUCAACAUGCUUCUUAGAAAUUCAGAUUGUAAUUGAUAAAACAAACAUUACAUAUAUGAAUUUAAAUGUAUAAACAGUUAGAAAUUCAACAAUAUCUCCUAUUAUACUAUUACACAAGUUCACAAUUUUGUAAAAACUAUAAUACAGGCAUACUAUACAUCAAGAGGAACCACUAUUCCUUUUCACAUGAUUUUUUUCCCACUAGUAAAACCAAGUUGACCAAGUCAGGUUGGUGGUUGUUAUUGCUUAAUAGCUACUUAGAAAGAUGUCAUACACAUUCAAAAGAACAGAAUUUGCCUCAGAUGGUAUGUGUUAUUUCUGUAAGUGA